AACUGAAGUGUCCCAAAUCCUGGAAAUUUAAAUUUAAAAGCAGUUCGGUGGAAUGCA
Molecule: small RNA, 57 nt
Filed under: Arabidopsis thaliana (thale cress)
Lineage: Eukaryota; Viridiplantae; Streptophyta; Magnoliopsida; Brassicales; Brassicaceae
Description: ATSL094440
Source: RNAcentral